RNAcentral lists this ribosomal RNA (253 nucleotides) under uncultured bacterium. RNAcentral describes it as "partial 16S ribosomal RNA". It matches the Rfam family "Bacterial small subunit ribosomal RNA", at positions 524 to 776 of the family's 1533-position model. The record is from RNAcentral.
GACAGAGGGUGCAAGCGUUGUUCGGAAUUACUGGGCGUAAAGCGUGUGUAGGUGGCUGCGUAAGUCGGAUGUGAAAGCCCUGGGCUCAACUCAGGAAGUGCACUCGAUACUGCGUAGCUCGAGUACCGGAGAGGUUGGUGGAAUUCUCGGUGUAGAGGUGAAAUUCGUAGAUAUCGAGAGGAACACCUGUGGCGAAGGCGGCCAACUGGACGAGUACUGACACUGAGACACGAAAGCGUGGGGAGCAAACAGG